Molecule: long non-coding RNA, 211 nt
Filed under: Elaeis guineensis (African oil palm)
Lineage: Eukaryota; Viridiplantae; Streptophyta; Magnoliopsida; Arecales; Arecaceae
Description: long non-coding RNA (EGUI_LNC071364)
Source: RNAcentral
GAAUGAUUUUCUUAAUGAACUCAAAGCCUUGGAAAUAUCCCCACACGGUAUCUCCCGGAAUCCAUUGAUCCUGCGGCCCGGAAAGCAGCCAACGACCGCAUCUGAUCAUUCACCGCUGCUCCGGGUCUUUACUGCUGUCUAACCUAACGCAGCAGCCAGCCUCCGCAGCCAAUCAUUAUCAAACACGUCACAGCCUUCUAACCUACCCACC